AUUGGAGCCCAAUGUGGCCGACCCGUGGCUUGUGACGUUCCACUUCUUUUUAAGUCUACCCUUUGAUGUGUAUAUAUGACAUACGAUGUGUUUAUAACGUUGUAUGUACCCACGGUUACGCCUACGGCUACGAUGGAUAGCAUACAACUAUAAUUGUACCUCCUCCGUGUAUACAAACAACUAAGACAAAGACCCAACCGGGAACUCCCCCUCUCCUUUCGUUUGAAGUCGUACGAAGUCCAUCUCGUGUAGGCACGAACCAAAAUGAAGUAAUCAUCGACCGUAAGCUAAAGACGAGAAACCGACCGUUACCAAGUCACGGGUGUGAUGUGAAGUCAAGACCCCUAAAAUAUGUACCACAGUUGUGUUAAGAGGCCAUGUAACGUGCACGACGUAAACAAAGGUCGAAGAUACAGGUCCUGCUAUAAGUCCGUCGUGUUCAACUGGUUACCGAGUUCAUGCGUGGUUGAGUAAGAGAGCCCGAGACUUAAACUUAGACGAACGAGUAAAGAACUACCUAUGAACCGUUGAGCUUGGAAAAAACAACUAAUACCAGAUAGUUAACGACUGUAACAGUACACCAGUUUAGAGUGUCCAGUGGUACCAACAAGGUAACAGUAUAGUAAGUAGUAUACGACGACAAAUCGUAGUGUUUUCUUCUUCCGGUCUGAGAACGGAAGGGACGGUUACGAAGGAGGACGGUACGAUCGGUACACACGGGAGUGGAAACAAGUAGUUAAGCACGCGUCAGGUCUUUAAGAACCUUUAAGAGGACAACGACAAUAUUAACGUUUACGAUGUAGACUUCCUCGCCGACAUCGACCACUACUUCUCUCCGUGAAGCGUAAACGGGUGGUCUUCAUGUCUAGCCAUUUCAUAUCUCUUCGAAGUCUCGUACCGUCGUAACAAAUACUCUUCCAGGUGCUGUUUGACUAUUGGAUGAAGAAGAACCUCAAUAGAUGAUAGUCAAAUACU
Molecule: ribosomal RNA, 975 nt
Filed under: Triticum aestivum (bread wheat)
Lineage: Eukaryota; Viridiplantae; Streptophyta; Magnoliopsida; Poales; Poaceae
Description: partial small subunit ribosomal RNA
Source: RNAcentral